AACGAACGCUGGCGGCAUGCCUAACACAUGCAAGUCGAACGAGAUCUUCGGAUCUAGUGGCGCACGGGUGCGUAACGCGUGGGAAUCUACCCUUAGGUUCGGAAUAACUUCGGGAAACUGAAGCUAAUACCGGAUGAUGACGUAAGUCCAAAGAUUUAUCGCCUAAGGAUGAGCCCGCGUAGGAUUAGCUUGUUGGUGAGGUAAAGGCUCACCAAGGCGACGAUCCUUAGCUGGUCUGAGAGGAUGAUCAGCCACACUGGGACUGAGACACGGCCCAGACUCCUACGGGAGGCAGCAGUGGGGAAUAUUGGACAUUGGGCGAAAGCCUGAUCCAGCAAUGCCGCGUGAGUGAUGAAGGCCUUAGGGUUGUAAAGCUCUUUUACCCGGGAUGAUAAUGACAGUACCGGGAGAAUAAGCUCCGGCUAACUCCGUGCCAGCAGCCGCAGUAA
This 449-nucleotide ribosomal RNA is filed under the name uncultured bacterium. RNAcentral describes it as "partial 16S ribosomal RNA". It matches the Rfam family "Bacterial small subunit ribosomal RNA", at positions 29 to 523 of the family's 1533-position model. The record is from RNAcentral.